CGGACCAAGAACUCUGAAAUGACCACCAGUGGCAGAAUCAGCAUCUUCAGCAUCCUCAUCAACAGUUCGCCGGGGAACUGGAGGUAACUAAUCUCCUGGAAACACAGCAAGCACUGGGUCAGAGCAGACACAGUACAGACUCCAAAUUGCUUUCUUCGUCACCAUCUUCAAUGCAUUGUCUGUCCUGUCUGCACACUCCUGUCUAGCACCUGAACAUCAGGGACCAGUGAGAAGAAACUGGUUUGGAGCCAAACAGCCUGGAUCAUGGACACUAUACCCUAGGGAACUGCAACUUCCCCAAGGGUCUCACAAUGGGAGAAAAAGGCUGAAGUCUAGCACCAGCCAGAAAAAGAACUUGUCUCCCUGGAGAGAUUUCCUACAAUUCUGAUACUUGUCAGACAACCUUGUGGAAGAAAAAGGAGCCAAGACAACGAUGGGUCAAUGAUAGUGGGAACACAGCCUGGACCCCUUAGCCCUGGGUACCUCUGGCCUUCUAGUUAAUCUUAAAUCUUCAUGCCGCGGACUGUGAA
This is a long non-coding RNA of Chionomys nivalis (European snow vole), 530 nucleotides long. RefSeq lists it as uncharacterized. Lineage: Eukaryota; Metazoa; Chordata; Mammalia; Rodentia; Cricetidae. The transcript has 3 exons. The record is from RefSeq and is a predicted model, not a curated record.